Long non-coding RNA from Cyclopterus lumpus (lumpfish), 855 nucleotides. RefSeq lists it as uncharacterized. The transcript is spliced from 2 exons. Lineage: Eukaryota; Metazoa; Chordata; Actinopteri; Perciformes; Cyclopteridae. The record is from RefSeq and is a predicted model, not a curated record.
GGGCACGCUGCAGGGUAUAUGCAGCAACAGUCGAUGUGUGAAAAGGCGUGAGCAGAAAGGGACGAGUUGGGGAUAACACGUUGUUACUCAGAGCUUCAACAACGUCAGAGACCAGGAGACACGGAGGACGUGGUGUCCCGUCCGCGCUGGCGUUACCGGCGCUCUGCUGUUUGAACCGGGGUGACUAACUGCGUCGAUCCUUUCCCAGAUCCCACUCCCACACUACACACUACAACUCCGGCACUAUUCCUGGAGCAGCCCCCGCCGCUGUGGCACGGAAAUACCAGCACCUCCAAGAACAGACGCCAAGCCUGUCAGAGCAUCAUCACAUCCCACAGGACAGCUGGGGGAGGAGGAGGGAAGGAGAAGAAGAGCAGGUGGAAGGAUGGGCACUUGCGCUGUCGGAAAAAAGAAUCAACACAGAGAGAAAAGAGAAAAUCAACAGAGGAACCAGUUAUAUCCUGGUAGAUCAGCCACAAACUGUUUCUCUUCUUUUGAUCGUUGGAGCUGGUGCUCUUCUCCGGAGGUGUGUGUUGUUAUAUUACAACAUUUAUGAGGACGACAGGAGCAUAAUUACUGUUUUCUUAUAUAUAUAUAUUGUAUACACAUAAUACUAAAUUAAUAGAUUUGAUGUAACAUUUUCUAUUGCAAUGCCCCAUUAAGUAUUUAUUUUUGGCAAAAUUGACAGGGUUACAGAACACUAUAAUGUAAUUGUAAGGAGAUAUAUCCUCAAUGCUGGUGUAUAAAUAGAUAAUGAGUGACAAUAUUUUAAAACAUGUAAUAAUACAUGUUGUUAUAAGUUGUUAUGAAGUUAUAUUCAUUGACACGUGUUCAUUAAUAAACACUUACACAUGA